AUAACAUGUAGGAUCAGGUGUCAGAUAACAUGUAGGAUCAGGUGUCACGUAACAUGUAGGAUCAGGUGUCAGAUAACAUGUAGGAUCAGGUGUCAGAUAACAUGCAGGAUCAGGUGUCACGUAACAUGCAGGAUCAGGUGUCACGUAACGUGUAGGAUCAGGUGUCAGAUAACAUGUAGGAUCAGGUGUCACGUAACGUGUAGGAUCAGGUGUCACGUAACGUGUAGGAUCAGGUGUCAGAUAACAUGUAGGAUCAGGUGUCAGAUAACAUGCAGGAUCAGGUGUCACGUAACGUGUAGGAUCAGGUGUCAGAUAACAUGUAGGAUCAGGUGUCAGAUAACAUGCAGGAUCAGGUGUCACGUAACAUGCAGGAUCAGGUGUCAGAUAACAUGCAGGAUCAGGUGUCAGAUAACAUGCAGGAUCAGGUGUCAGAUAACAUGCAGGAUCAGGUGUCACGUAACGUGUAGAAUCAGGUGUCAGAUAACGUGUAGAAUCAGGUGUCAGAUAACAUGUAGGAUCAGGUGUCAGAUAACAUGUAGGAUCAGGUGUCA
Long non-coding RNA from Oncorhynchus tshawytscha (Chinook salmon), 551 nucleotides. The record is from Ensembl. NCBI's taxonomy places the organism in Eukaryota, Metazoa, Chordata, Actinopteri, Salmoniformes, Salmonidae.